GACAAAUUGGGCCUGUCUUGAGAGAGUAAACAGAAAGGAGGCUGGAUUCAGGAAAUCAUGUCACAUUAGGAGUGAAAGAAGGAACUGGGAAUGGGGAGAAGAAAAGCUUUUGGGUGGUUCUGACAACCAUCCCCUUGAAAGGCUGUCUGUCCUGUGGAAGAGUGAUGAGGUUUACAGCAUUUGGCUCCAGAAGGCAGACCAGAGAGUGGGAAUUUAAAAGAAGAACUCAUCUUGGUGUGAAGGAAGGUGACCCACCUUAAGAAUUGAGAAGAUCUGGCAGUCAAAACAUCUAUGGAAGGUGAAAAGAACAGUCUGAAUCAUUUCCCCUGUGAAUCUAGUGAGGACCAUUACAAAGCAACCUUAUUGGGGCGCCUGAGUGGCUCAGUGGGUUAAAGCCUCUGCCUUCGGCUCAGGUCAUGAUCCCAGAGUCCUGGGAUUGAGCCCUGCAUUGGGCUCUUUGCUCAGUGGGGAGCCUGCUUCCUCCUCUCUCUCUCUGCCUGCCUCUCUGCCUACUUCUGGUCUGUCAAAU
This 529-nucleotide long non-coding RNA is filed under the name Mustela putorius furo (domestic ferret). RNAcentral's name for it is "lncRNA (ENSMPUG00000027573.1)". The record is from RNAcentral. Lineage: Eukaryota; Metazoa; Chordata; Mammalia; Carnivora; Mustelidae.